AUUGACUAUUCCUGUGAUGGUCCCCCCCCCCCCCCCAGAUCACGUACAGCCUGCGGCGCCUCACAGCCUUCCAGACUCAGAACCUGUACGUGGGCCCCCGGCCUCAGGAGCCGGCCCCAGAGGGGAACCCUCUGUUCCCAGGCGUGGAGGCCAAGCCGGACCCGAUCAAAGGAGGCCUGCGCGUCACCAGCUUCUUCACCUACAACUGCCUCACUGACUCGAAGGACCUGUACAGCGAGUGUUUACGCACCUUCUGGAGCUGUCCAAACUGUGACCUCUACAUGCCUCUCACUCCGCUGGAGCGCAUGCAGCACGAGGCCUCCUGCAGGCCAGCAGGGGAACAGCAGCAGUCAGAGGAAGAGCCAGAAGGGGCAAAGGCAGUCUCCUCCUCUUCCUCCUCCAUGUCCAGUCUCACCAGAGUUUAUCACUGUGACGUCUGCGAUGAAGAUCUGACCCUCACCUCCACUGAGAUCCUCAAACAUAAAAGGCAGCACAUGUAUUCUACCAAGUAGCAGCUUCCUAGGGACAACAACUAAUCACAACGGGUCUAUUCUGUCAAGGACAUCUUUGAGUUUAUAGAAUAAAGUUGUUAUGUUUGUGUCACUAUUUUUCUUCCCAUUUUUACUCGAGGAAUUUCAUUAAACUGCUGUUCCUUCCCUU
Long non-coding RNA from Notothenia coriiceps (black rockcod), 660 nucleotides. RefSeq lists it as uncharacterized. The transcript is spliced from 3 exons. The record is from RefSeq and is a predicted model, not a curated record. Lineage: Eukaryota; Metazoa; Chordata; Actinopteri; Perciformes; Nototheniidae.